This 270-nucleotide long non-coding RNA is filed under the name Fukomys damarensis (Damara mole-rat). Its description in RNAcentral is "lncRNA (ENSFDAG00000032703.1)". Lineage: Eukaryota; Metazoa; Chordata; Mammalia; Rodentia; Bathyergidae. The record is from RNAcentral.
GAUCCUCAUGUUUUAGCCUUUUAUUCAGCAAGUAUCUGAUGAGUGUCUUCAAUGUUCCAGGCACCAUGCUGGUCUGUGGGAGGACACUUGGGGGAAGAAGAUGAGCAAGGCAGCUGGUCUUGUGCAGCAAAUCAGCAUUCUCAGGUCUAGGAUUCCUGGAUUGGCUUCUGAGAGGGAGGAGGCAGCUGCCACAGAGGAAGAACAGCACCAGGAGUUUUGAUUAAAAAUGGAAAGCAGAGAGUAGGUGAGUGGAUGCCUGGGGAGUGACCC